UACUCGAGUGGCGAACGGGUGAGUAACACGUGGGUGAUCUGCCCUGCACUUCGGGAUAAGCCUGGGAAACUGGGUCUAAUACCGGAUAGGACGAUGGUUAGGAUGCCAUUGUGGAAAGUUUUUCGGUGUGGGAUGAGCUCGCGGCCUAUCAGCUUGUUGGUGGGGUAAUGGCCUACCAAGGCGUCGACGGGUAGCCGGCCUGAGAGGGUGUACGGCCACAUUGGGACUGAGAUACGGCCCAG
Molecule: ribosomal RNA, 242 nt
Filed under: uncultured Actinomycetales bacterium
Lineage: Bacteria; Bacillati; Actinomycetota; Actinomycetes; Actinomycetales
Description: partial 16S ribosomal RNA
Rfam family: Bacterial small subunit ribosomal RNA
Source: RNAcentral